AUUGAACGCUAGCGGGAUGCUUUACACAUGCAAGUCGAACGGCGGCGCGGACUUCGGUCUGGCGGCGAGUGGCGAACGGGUGAGUAAUGUAUCGGAACGUGCCCAGUAGCGGGGGGUAACUACGCGAAAGCGUAGCUAAUACCGCAUACGCCCUACGGGGGAAAGCAGGGGAUCGUAAGACCUUGCACUAUUGGAGCGGCCGAUAUCGGAUUAGCUAGUUGGUGAGGUAACGGCUCACCAAGGCGACGAUCCGUAGCUGGUUUGAGAGGACGACCAGCCACACUGGGACUGAGACACGGCCCAGACUCCUACGGGAGGCAGCAGUGGGGAAUUUUGGACAAUGGGGGCAACCCUGAUCCAGCCAUCCCGCGUGUGCGAUGAAGGCCUUCGGGUUGUAAAGCACUUUUGGCAGGAAAGAAACGUCGCGGGCUAAUACCCCGUGGAACUGACGGUACCUGCAGAAUAAGCACCGGCUAACUACGUG
This 484-nucleotide ribosomal RNA is filed under the name uncultured bacterium. Its description in RNAcentral is "partial 16S ribosomal RNA". It matches the Rfam family "Bacterial small subunit ribosomal RNA", at positions 30 to 507 of the family's 1533-position model. The record is from RNAcentral.